RNAcentral lists this ribosomal RNA (733 nucleotides) under uncultured bacterium. RNAcentral describes it as "bacterial SSU rRNA". It matches the Rfam family "Bacterial small subunit ribosomal RNA", at positions 65 to 795 of the family's 1533-position model. The record is from RNAcentral.
GACGCACCGCUUCGGUGGUGAGUGGCGAACGGGUGAGUAAUACAUAAGUAACCUGGCCUUUCGAGGGGGAUAACUAUUGGAAACGAUAGCUAAGACCGCAUAGGCAUAAUUCUCGCAUGAGAGUUAUGUUAAAUAUCCUAUGGGAUAGCGAGAGGAUGGACUUAUGGCGCAUUAGCUAGUUGGUGAGGGUAACGGCCCACCAAGGCGACGAUGCGUAGCCGACCUGAGAGGGUGGACGGCCACACUGGGACUGAGACACGGCCCAGACUCCUACGGGAGGCAGCAGUAGGGAAUUUUCGGCAAUGGGCGAAAGCCUGACCGAGCAACGCCGCGUGAGGGGGGUAGUAUUUCGGUAUGUAAACCUCUGUUAUAAAGGAAGAACGGCGCAUGUAGGGAAUGACAUGCGAGUGACGGUACUUUAUGAGAAAGCCACGGCUAACUACGUGCCAGCAGCCGCGGUAAUACGUAGGUGGCGAGCGUUAUCCGGAAUCAUUGGGCGUAAAGAGGGAGCAGGCGGCAACUAGGGUCUGCGGUAAAAGACCGAAGCUAAACUUCGGUAAGCCGUGGAAACCGAGGAGCUAGAGUGCAGUAGAGGAUCGUGGAAUUCCAUGUGUAGCGGUGAAAUGCGUAGAUAUAUGGAGGAACACCAGUGGCGAAGGCGACGAUCUGGGCUGCAACUGACGCUCAGUCCCGAAAGCGUGGGGAGCAAAUAGGAUUAGAUACCCUAGUAGUC